UUUUUUUUUUCCUUUCUUUACUCAGAAAAUGACUGAUGUUUUAACUCCUUGGUGCACACUCAUUAAUUAAGAACUGAACGGUUGCUGUAUGAAGUAGCUUGAUGUUAAUGUGACGGAAAGAGUUCUUUCUGGCAAGUCAAAUGAUUUACUCGAUGGCCCAAAUGGCAGCUCAGGCCAGCGUCCGAUCCGGAGGGCAGUUAUCCUCACACUCUGCAUCUUGUCAGCACUCUCAGCCAAGGUAUCAGUGGCUGCUUUCCAACUGGAGCCUUACCCUGACAAAAGAGAAUGCAGUACACGGGAAAGCUUUUUGAUCUGUUCAGUUCACUUCUUCCCUCCAAACUGUGUUUGGCAGCAAGUUGCGAGCAAGCUCAGGAAUUGCACGGAGAGCAUCACCACUCUGGGAAUUCACCCUCCUCAGCAGGAGCUGCUCCUGGACCAUUCCUCAGCCACACAGCAGAGAAAUCCCUCUGCUGACUUCUGCUUUAAUUAUAUUUUAAAAAUUCAGCCUCUAGUCUGUGUUCCAUUAUAAUAAUAGCAAUAAUUAAAAAUACUUCAAACGACGAGUCCUCUAAACCUGCUGUUCCAUCUAGGCUUUUUGGCACCGCUCACUUCCUUUCUUGACUGACAUCCUCAGGGAACCAGAUUGAUGGUUCUUCUAUUCUAUUCCUGUUGCAGGGCUGUACUGUGUUCUCUCAGCACAUGUAAACUGCUAGGUAAUAUUUGUGUUGGCAACUAACUUACAUACUUUAUAGAAACAGACCUCUAUUUGACCCGCCAUGCAGCUCCCACACACAAUUUGGUCUGCUCCUUUAAACUGUUUCCUUCUGCUGCAACACGUACCCCAUUCCAUACCUCCAUUUCUAGCCUGUUUAAAAACGACACAUCCAGAACAGAGCUUAUGUGCUUAAAGACAGCAGCCCAGCUACAAAAGCCAAGCCUGCAGAACGUUCUUAUGCAAGAAUACCAAAGAAAAUUAUUAUACCGCUUGCAUGUACAGGUCCUGGUUUUCCUUCUACAAAGAUUGCUUCAACUGAACAUUUAGAUGGAAAAAAGCUAUGAAAAGUUCUGCAAAAAAAGACAUCAAGACAGAGAUUUCUGUGAUAAGACUCUGAUGGCUGUAGCAUGCUUUAGGGGGCUGGGAAAGGGAUGUUGGGGGAAUUUCUUUAAAAUACAGUUCAAUUUUAGCUAUUUAGGCAUCCCCUCAGAACAGACUUUCACACCAGAACUCUUCCUUCCUUGCCACCACACAGAAUGAAAGACAAACCAACAAAUCAAGGUGUCCAGAGGAUCAAAUGAAUUCCCAUUAUCCAUUUAUACCGCAGCAGUUUAUCAGCAACUCCAUUUAAAGCCAACAGAGCUAAACCAGCACACAAGUGAUGCAAAAAGAGGCGAAAUCUGGCUGGCACAUGCCAGGGCGAGUGCAGCUGCAGUGCGAGCAGAGGACUGUGCAGUCACAUCAUGUGACAGGAGCAGCACUGGCAGCAGAGGAGGCAGAGCUACAGCCCCCGUCCUCCCACCUUCCUAAAUCUCAGCCCUCAGUGCAACGUUACCAGCAACACAAUCUCAUUUCGAUGCAGAACUGACUCAGGUUAUAAGCUUCUCAAUAUUUUGAGUUGUUAUUCUCCGUUUUUAUUACUUCCCUCCACCAAAUAAAAGAGGAAUAGAGAGGUGAAUAACAACACAGGCAAACUAUGUAUUCCUCCCACUGCUAAGCACUUUCAGCAUUUUAUCACUUGUAGAUCUAGUUUCUCAACUGAGCAGGGUGAACACAGACCACGGCGCUGCUGCUGCAUCGUUCUCACAUGUAGCACUUAGCCCAAGUAGUCAUCUUCGUAAUAGAAUCUUCCAAUGCUUGUAAGCGACAUGGAUUGCCAAUUGAAUUUUGAUGCUGUAUUGCACCUGUAUUUCAAGAUAAAACAAUGAUCACAACCUCCUUUGUAGCACAGCAAAAGAUUUCUGCUCUCCAUUGAGUUUCGAGGAAUGUUUUUUGUAUUUUCUGUAGCAAAGAACCUGGCUAUCACAUUUGUGUAGGCUAGCUGUAUUAUUUCAGCACGAUUGGAGAAUUAUGCUCUUUGCUUCUACUUAGGUGACUCAGUUUCUUUCAUUUAACAUAAAUUGUGAUCCAUUUUAUCAAAACAUUUUGAGAGUGACUUAUCUGAUUUGAAAACAAAGCAUCUGCUUUUCUACAAACAUGCCCUACAGUCAGCUAUUACGCUUCUUAAUCGCUCCCUCAACAGCCUGAGCCAGGACAGUUACAACUGCUACACUUCAGGGUUCACACAAGGUGAGAAGAUGCACCAGGCAGGAACUGCAUCUGCAAACUUCCACAGCAAGAGCCAUACCAGGAUGAUCUUCCAGGAUUUCUGAAGGCUGCUACCAACACUGCAGUUCUGUUGCUCGCAGGAAUGGUGGGAGAGCACACGCAUGCUGGGAGACUCACUUAUACCAGCAUUUUAAGUCAUCAUGUGGCUCAACAGUGCUGCUUUGCAUCAGCUUAGACAAGAUACUGAAAAAUAUGGGUUGAAUUUGGACAGCUCUUGCAAAAUCUAGCAGUUUUUUAUAUUAAAGGAUCCAUUUUGCAGGUUGGAGGACUAGAAUUGCUUAGCCAAGACACAGUUUAACCACAGGAGCUCGGAACCUGGUUAAUGAAGUACAGAAGUGUGACUCAUACUUUGAAGGGAACAGGUCCUAUUCUGUGCUGGGAGAUUAGACCCAGACUCUAGAGACCCACAGUCUUGAUCCUCAAUGUUUUACCUGGAACAGCAUUUGGUUAUUGACAUUUUUAUAGCCAGCAAUAGGUAAGAAAUUUUGGGGGUGUUGACACAACAUAACAAUCAUGCAGCUUCCACCCUCAAAGGCAUUUCACAUCACCUAUUGUCCAACACAUUUCUCAGUACAAAACAAGAAUUUGGUGAGGUGGCAGUUGCUGAGAUAAAAGUUUAAAAUCUGCACAAAUCCAAGAUGGUUCAAUGGAACCUGCAGUUUGGAUACCGAGCACAGACAGCUCUUGUGAAACCCAGCAACAUUCCACCCGAAAGGAUUCACUUGCCGAUGCAGAAAUGCAGCUACCUGUCAAAAGCACACUAAACACCUCCAGCCCCACCAGCUGGGAGGGGGAAGGUAACCUCAAGAAUGCAGAAGUUAAUGAAGAGGGGGCCGUUCUCGUAAUGAUCGCGGUUCCGUUGCGAACCAAGGCCUAAGCAAAAGACGUGUCACAUCGUAUUCCUCUUCCCCGUCCGCAGCAGACAGCGGCGAGCGCGGCUCCGUGCACCCAGGCACAGGGCCUCGGCAGCCUCCACCGCCAUCGCAGCCCGGGCACGGAGCACAGACCCCGCGGGGAGCUGCGGCUCGCUUCAGAAAGCGCCGAACACCGCUUCGGAGCCCGCCCGCCGCCGGGAGCUGCCCACCGGUGCGGGAUGCUCCGCGCAGCCCCGGCCGCCCCCGCCCGCACCUGCCGCGCCGCCCGCUCCCGCCUUACCUGGGCUUCCGCUUGCGGCAGGGCUCCUCCGCCGGGCCUGGAGCUCUGAGGGGACAAGACAGCGGUGAGAGGCGAGGCAGCGGUGAGGGGCGCGCCGCCGCCGGGCCUGCCCCGAGGCGCCCGCAGCCGCCGCCGCCGCUCCCGCCCGCCCGCGCCACCGCCCCGCCCGCGCCUCGCCGCUCCGCCCCCCGCACCUGGAGGCUGGGCCGGUGCGGGGCAGGCGCUGCCGGGCGACUCCUCUCACCAUCCGCGCCGCCUCCCACAGCUCCCGGCCAGAGCCGCCAGCGCCGCCGCGGCGAAGGCUUCGGCUGC
This is a long non-coding RNA of Strigops habroptila (Kakapo), 3790 nucleotides long. The record is from Ensembl. NCBI's taxonomy places the organism in Eukaryota, Metazoa, Chordata, Aves, Psittaciformes, Psittacidae.